CCAAGAUCGCUAUAUAUAUAUAUAUAUAUAUAUAUAUAUAUGUGCAUGUAUAGUUGAGCUACUAUCAAUAGUAGCAACCACUGAACCCUAAACUCUGGACCCUAGACCCUAUUGAUCCAAGGGUCAAAAAGUUGGUCGCUGCCACCACUUUGCUACUAUCAAUAGUAUUUUCGCCCCACUAUAAAUAUAUACAUCUAUACAAAUUUUCUUUCUGUUAUGUGUUACUCUUUUGGGUAAACUUCAAAUACCAUCCCUGUGGUUUCGCACUUUCUCACUUUGGUACUAUGUGGUUUAAAGUUGAGCUACUAUCAAUAGUAGCAACCACUAAACCCUAAACUCUGGACCCUAGACCCUAUUGAUCCAAGGGUCAAAAGUUGGUCGCAGCCACCACUUUGCUACUAUCAAUAGUAUUUUAGCCCCACUAUAAAUAUAUACAUCUAUAUAAAUUCUCUUUCUGUCAUGUGUUACUCAUUUGGGUAAACUUCAAAUACCAUCCCUGUGGUUUCACACUUUCUCACUUUGGUACUAUGUGGUUUAAAGUGUAUUAAUUUAGUACCUUGUGGUUCGAUUUUUCUCUUUUUGCCAGCUCCCCCGUUAACAUUUUGUUACAUUAUAUACAAAAUAUGCUUUCUUACAAAUUUUUUUUCUUUCUUUUCCUUGGAGGCGAUGAUGAUAAACACCGCAUCACUGCAAUUUUGUGAGAAGAUAUGCUAUUCUCAUGCAAUGCCAUUCUCUUUCUUUCUUUCUUUCUUUCUUUUUCUUUCCAUAUGUGUGCAUGUACACACACACACACACACACAUUCAUAUAUAUAUAUAUAUAUAUACAUCUAUUUCUUGCACCCGGCUCACCACAUUUGUUUACGACCCAAUGAAAUGCUUGUUUCUUUGGUGAUGUUGGCUGGGCAGCUGGAUGGCCUUCAACCGUGCAGGCAAUGGCUGCAGCUACAUCUCCAGUGUUAGACUGGUGUAUAUGAUUAAUUUUUCCUUUGGUGUUAAAUCUGAGCCUCCGUUAAUCUUUUGCACCUCCAUUGUUUUUCUAUCAACAUUACGAGUUCUUGAACUUUUAGUCAAGUUUCAUUUUGGUCCUCAAACUAGCUGUUGCUCUUCUGGGCCGAUGACCCUCUCCCUCUAUUUAUUCGCCUGGUCUUUCUCUCGGGGAGAAAUGGUUACCUGGCAUCAUGUCAAACGGAUUAGCUGUCGAAUACCAAUUCUAUUUGGAAUAACUGUGACAGAGAAUACUCUUUACAAGAAAUUUGUUGCUUCCACCUGGUGCACUACAUCAACCGUGUUAACAGGACUUGUGGAUGGCCUGGUGCUGUGCAGGCAACACCUGCAACUACUUGCUAAGAGGUGGUCUUGGUUAUAUUUCUGCUGAUAAAGACAGCCAUGGGGGUUUAUUUUGGCAAACAAGAGUCCAUUUUCUUCUCCUCCCACCCUUUUUUCUAUUAAUUUUUUGUUUUUAAAAGAAAACAUUGAAGUCUAUACUCUCUUUCUUAAGGCAUAAAUUGCACUGUUGGUCCUUGAACUUUUGGCCGAAGUUUCAUUUUGGUCCUGGUAAGUAAGCAGCUGCUCUUUCAGUUUCUCUCUCUCUCCCUCUCUCUCUCUCUCUCUCUCUCUCUCUCAGUUAUUACCUGGACUCAUAUAUACCUGUUGUUCUUAAUAUCUUAGACAGGAGUAGGCGGGGCAACUGGAUGGCCUGCUGCUAUGCAGGCAACAGCUGCAGCUACUGUCUAGGAGGGAAAUUGCAUUGUUAGUUCUCAAACUUCGAGUCAAGUUUCAUUUUGGUUUUGGUAGGAGCUGCUGUUCUUCCGGGCUGGCUCUCUCUCUCUCUCUCUCAAACAAUCUCAAGAUAGCUUUUCGUAAUUUUCUGAGGGGUAAAUCUCAUAGGACUUUCCUAACCUUUUACCGAAGUUUCAACGAAGUUUCAAGUGAGUCCCUAAUCUUCUAAUUGGUGUAUUGAGGUCCUUAAACUGUUUCCCGAGUUUCAAUUGAGUCUCUCUUUUCCUCUCCUCUCUUUCUCUAGUAUUUAAUAAUGUGCCUCUUACUCGUGCCCAAACUACUUAGCCUUAGGGAAUGGUCAUGAAGACUAUGACAUACAACCUUCGUAUAUGCCUAAGCAGCGCACAUGAUGAUGAUUGUGUGGAUUGCACAAUCAGACAUACUAUAUGGAAAAACCAAGUUAAUAUGAUUGAGGCUAUAGAGAUACCUUUCUUUCCUCUGUUACUUCUUUAACAACUUUGGCAGCACAGGUUUUAGUUGUGAUAAGGGAGACGAGGAACUUCUGCCCCUCCUUUUCUUGUCUUCCUGUGCUACAAUUUUCUUGUGGAGUUGAAAACAUUUCUCUUCUAUUUUGCUCUAUUAUUCGGUUGUGUUUUUCCUCUGAUUUUUUUUUUUUUUCGUUUUCCAUUUUUCCAUUUGAUUCCCCCUUUUCACAUUGAAUAGUUUAAUGAAGGGUAAAUUACACUUUUGGUCCUCAAACUAUGAGACGCGUGACACUUUGGUACUUAUUUAUGAACUUCGGAAAUGGUUCGGUACUUAUUCGAUGGACCUCUUACAUGUCCACAUAUUAUAGGCCAAAAAACAACUGCCUGUAAGGGCAACUCUCUUUGUGACCUGUAGCAGUACUCUCUCUCAAAUGAAGAGUUCUGUACACAUUGUGCAGUGCAACUUUAUUCCAAUAGAGUUAUAUAUAUGUGGCACUGAUAAUAUGAUUGUUUGACUUGUUAGCCGAGUUUCUGGUGACUUUCUGAGGUACUCUAAAUAAUGCUCCGCCUUAGUAGAUGCGAGACAGCCCUUCGGCUCGAAGGGAGAUAAUUGAGGCCGACGAAAAGAAUUAACCGUCGGCUUAAUGCCCUCUGUUCUUGUUCUUGUUCUUGUUCUUGUUCUUCUCUCUCUCUCUCUCUCUCUCUCUCUCUCUACAUUUAUCUAUAUUUAUACCUAUAUGUGUAUAUUUGUUUAGGGACAAUUGCCUAUAUACUUCUGAGCACAUUCCUACUUUCAUAUAUAGCCCUCAAAAACAUGUAUGCUGAAAUGUACCCUUCUAACAAUCCAAAUUCUUUUCAAUAAACCCUCAAAGCAGGGGUAUCUGAGAAAACGAGGUCAAAGAUAAAACUCUGUAAUUUUUCAAGUUUGCAGAGGCAAUUCUGCCAUUUGUGUAUAUGUUUUGUAUGUAUGUGUAUAUUGCUUUCCGUGAGGCAAUGAAGGUGAUCACAUCCUCGCGGCUGCAAAUGUUGUGGGUAUUGACUUUCGGAAAUACUGGUCUAUUGACUGCGUUCCAUGCAAUAAUUUCUCCUAUAGUUGAGGGGGUCUCUGUAUGUUUUAACCUAUAAUUCUUUAACUAUUUUGUCCCUUUUGCCUCGUGAAAAUCACAUCUUCUGGCCUAAGUGGGCUAACUCCAAUUAAACAUGUCUCUAGAUGUUUGCUGGCUGGAUUAGAAUGCUAUCAAUAUGCAUCUGCUCUUCAAUGGUGAUGACUCUCUCUCUCUCUCUCUCUCUCUCUCUCUCUCUCUCUUUAUCUUUUUCUUCUGUCAGAAAAUUGUUUCCUGCUCUUAAUGUACCAUGUCAUCCAUUUACUUGUCAAUUCUUUCUUUAUUGAUGUUGGCAGGGCAGCUGGAUGGCCUUCUGUUUUGCAGGCCAUUGCUGCAGCUACAUUGUAUUUAUAAGGGUGGAAUAUAUGUGGGUUUCUUUGCACCAAGUCUGAGCCUCGGUUGAUCUUUUCAUCCCUCUUAUAUGAAAAGGUUAAAAUGUAUAGAACUUGCCUAAAUUAUGCGCCAUUUUGAAUUGGCUACCCAAUCUUUCAAAAUCUUUCAAAAUUUUGAUUUUGCUAUUUAGCCUUUCAAUAUGUUUGAUUUGAGUCAGUCAACUAUAUUUUGACUUCAAAAUUUAAGCUAAUUACUUUAAUGAAUGUAUAGUCGCGAGAAUUGCAUGAAGUAUGCUAGCUAAACCUGCAAAAAUAAAAGACGCAUUCAAAUUUUAAAGUUGAAGUGCUGUUGAUUGACUCGAAUUAAACAAAUUGAAAUGUUGGGUAGCAAAAUCAAAAUUUAAAAGAUUGGACAGUCAACUCAAAAUGAUCAAUAGUUUAUUGAAGGUCUGUAUGCUUUCACCAUAUAAAAACAUCUUGCUUGUUUGCUUUUCUUUUUUCUAUUUUAUUUUGGGGUUUUGGUUUGGUUCAUUGCAUUUAUUUUCUUAGUAUGUUGAUAUUGGCUUUGUAACACAAAUUGGUUUUUGACUUGUACUUCAGUUCUUCUUUCCUCUCCUUUUGCUGAGACAAUGAAGUUAUUAUUUGAAGCUUUUCUUAUUCUUUAACUUUUGUUCUUGAUAUUACCAGUUUAUUAAUUUGUAUUUGUUUCUUGUGAAUUCUUUGAUGAUCAUUUUAUAUUGUUGAACUUCAAAAUUAGGUCUCUAUUUUUCCCCCUUAAUUUCACUGAUUCUUUACAACCGAAACUGAGCAAAAGUUUCUUUCAAUAAUAAUAAUAAUAAUAAUGAUACAGCGUAAGAGCCUACGGGAUUUUUCUCAGCAAGAGAAGCUCUUCCCAGGAUUUAUCCACACGUGGGGCUGUGGUGCAGGGAAAUCGCAGCGUCAGUUUGGAGGGUCUCCAUGCAUUUUUACCUUACUCGCCUUAUUCUUGAGACAAAUGAUGCCUUGUUGUUGGCCUGAGAUGGAGGAGACUGCCAUAUCUGCUACUCUUGUCGGAUGAUGACUCUCUCUCUCUCUCUCUCUCUCUCUCUCUCUCAUAUUACCUGGACUGGUAUUUUGUGCAAGAUGAUGGCAAUGACGCACGACAUCUUUGUGACAUGCUCCAGAAGUCCUUCAAUUGCUGUUUGCCAGCCCAUGACUUGUUUUCUCUACCCUUGGGCGUGGUGUUAGACUGUUGUCUUGCUCUCUCUCUCUCUCUCUCUCUCUCUCUCUCUCUCAACAUUAUGCAUAGAUACAAGGGCCAAAAAAUUGAUAGUAGCAACAACUUGCUAUUAUCAAUAAUAUUGUAACUCUCUCUCUCUCUCUCUCUCUCUCUCUCUCUAUGUAUAUAUAUAUAUAUAUAUAGAACUAGGCUAGAAUACUAUUAAUAGCACCAAGUCAUUGGUGCUAUUAGGUUUUCGGCCCCUUGGAUAAAGGGAUGUGCGAAUGUGCGGUUAGCAUGAUUGUGAUCCUUGGGUUUAUUGAGUGGUUGGUGGAAUAGUAUGAUCUAAAGGGUGGAAAUGGUUAAAGAGGUAGAUCUAAUAGCGGAAAACCUGAUAGCACCAAGUGCUUGGUGCUAUUGAUAGUAUUGUAGCCGGACUCUGUGUGUGUGUGUGUGUGUGUGUGUGUUGUUUAUCUGAAAUAGUGUUGAUAGUAAGUGAAGGCUGUUUGCUAUUAACUUUUCAGCCCUUGGGUCAAUAUGAUUCCACCUACCACUGCUAAACACUAGGCAUCCGAGAGCUAAAAAGUAAACACUAAACCCUAAACCCUUCCUCUGUUCUUCUUUGCUCUCCCUUUUCCAAGGAAAUCAAGGUACUAAUUUGAAGCGUGGCUUUAUCUUUAUGUUUUUUCCUCAAUUCUAUUUGUUUAUUGGUUUGUAUUUGUUUUCUUUUGAUUUAUUGAUUUUUUUAUUUGAAUAAACUUCAAUUUUCCUCCCUGGUAUGGCAUAUUUUCAAUUUGGUGAAUUAGAAGUUACUGUUUCAUAUAUCUAAUUGCACUUUUUUCGUCACCUGGGGCAAAGUAAGUAUAUGUGAAUUUACAGAUUUUGCAGUGGUAUGAUUUUGUAGGAAUAUGUUUCUCUUUCUUUAAUGCCUAACUCUUUUUAGCAGGGGGUCUUCCAAAUGGCAUGGUUUCGUCAAUUUUUUUUGUUCUUUUCCUUUCUGGAGGCAAUGAUGAUAAACGCCACAUCACAGAGUCGAUAAAUGCUACUAAACAUCUGUAGUUUUUGGAAUUGCUACAUGCAAUGCAUUAUCUCUCUUCAUCUUUUUUUUUUUUUUCUUUUUCUUUGAAUAUGUGUGUAUAUAUAUAUAUUUCUUGCAUCCGGUGCACCACAUUUGUUUACAACCCAAUGAUAUGCUUGUUUCUUUGGCGAUGUUCGCUGGGCAGUUGGAUGGCCUUCCACCGUGCAGGCAACCCCUGCAGCGACUUCACCAUUGGUAGACUGGCGUAUAUGAUUUAUUUUACUUUCGGCGUUAAAUCUGAGCCUCCAUCGAUCUUUUUUCGUCCCCCAUUUGUGUUUCUAUCAACUGGAAGACAUAUUGCAAUUGUUCUGUUUCUUCUAUUUAUCUUUCUUGGUGUGAAUUGAUUGAUUUUGAAGUUUUGAUUUGAUUGUUAUCGAUCCUCUAUGGUGUGAUUGUUACAAAGUAGAUUUUUUCCCCCCUUUCUCAUGAAAAUUUUGUGAUGCCGGCUGCUAUGCUCGUCAGCUGUGAGCUACCUGCUGGUUGAGUUGCUUAUAUUGCGAGCAGUAAUGCAAAGUAUGCUGGAUUUUAUAUAGGUUGGAUGGCUUGUUGCUGUGCAGGCAACUGCUGUGGUUAUUGUUGCCUUUGGUCAAGCACUUGAACAUGGUGAUUGCUGAGGUGUUUGAAUCUAGUGUGGCAAAUAUGAGGUGAUUCUCAGUUUAUACCCCCUGUAUUUUCGUUUAGGGUGUGUUUGAUUACUCGUAAAAAUGGUCAGAAAACUCCUUUCAGUCUGAAAAUUUGUUUUCGUUCGUUUGUUGAGCUGUAAAAUUGUUUUCCUUGUAAAACUUUUUUACAUAUUAUUAUAACUGGGCCUUUUUGUUUUCCGCCAAAACUUCGUGGAAUUGUGGAAAACGUUUUGGCGGUAUUGUGGAAAACGAAAAGCUCUUGCUGCAAAAAAUAAAUAAAUAAAUAAAUAAAAACACCGGUGUGUAUAUGUGCACGGCAAUUAAAAGAUCAUGCGGUCCACCCACUAAGAAACCAAAUGUCUGAACCAAGUGCACCUACAAAUACUAGAGAUUAUUGUAUACUUGGUGUAUUCAUAUAUGUACACUAUUUUCAUCUAACAUUUUUUUAUAAAUAUAUGUCUAUUCCAUUUUGUAUACAGCAGUUGUUUAAAAUUUAAAAUUUGGGUAGUUAAAUUGGGAGUACGAAAUAAAUUGGUGGUCUUUUGAAGCUGGUUGUGUGAGUUCAUGGGUGUGCGAGAGGUGCACAAAUAAUUUUUUUUUUCUUGUGGAUCUCCCACCAACAGUGUAAUAGUAAUGUGUAUAGUAUGUGUAUAAAAUAAAAUGUAUAAUACUAUUUCUACGCUAUAUA
Molecule: long non-coding RNA, 7226 nt
Organism: Ananas comosus (pineapple)
Lineage: Eukaryota; Viridiplantae; Streptophyta; Magnoliopsida; Poales; Bromeliaceae
Exons: 2
Source: RefSeq, a predicted model, not a curated record